Molecule: unclassified non-coding RNA, 326 nt
Filed under: soil metagenome
Description: partial contains 5.8S ribosomal RNA, internal transcribed spacer 2, and large subunit ribosomal RNA
Rfam family: 5.8S ribosomal RNA (bases 1-120)
Source: RNAcentral
GAUGAAGAACGUAGUGAAAUGCGAUAAGUAAUGUGAAUUGCAGAAUUCAGUGAAUCAUCGAAUCUUUGAACGCACCUUGCGCCCUUUGGUAUUCCGAAGGGCAUGCCUGUUUGAGUGUCAUAUAAACCUCACCUCCACUGUUUUUCAUUAGACAUGUGGAUCGGUGCUUUGGGUGUCUGCCGUUUACUCUGGCUCGCCUUAAAUGUCUAAGUGGAAUGCGUCAUAAGUUCUUUCGCAAUCCUCCACUCUAAUCUACAACCUUUAUAUUCUGACCUCAAAUCAGGUAGGACUACCCGCUGAACUUAAGCAUAUCAAUAAGCGGAGGA